This 253-nucleotide ribosomal RNA is filed under the name uncultured bacterium. RNAcentral describes it as "partial 16S ribosomal RNA". It matches the Rfam family "Bacterial small subunit ribosomal RNA", at positions 524 to 776 of the family's 1533-position model. The record is from RNAcentral.
UACGGGGGGGGCAAGCGUUGUUCGGAAUUACUGGGCGUAAAGGGCUCGUAGGCGGCCAACUAAGUCGGAUGUGAAAUCCCCAGGCUUAACCUGGGAAUUGCAUCCGAUACUGGAUGGCUUGAAUCCGGGAGAGGGAUGCGGAAUUCCAGGUGUAGCGGUGAAAUGCGUAGAGAUUUGGAGGAACACCAGUGGCGAAGGCGACUUUCUGGUCUGUAACUGACACUGAGGCGCGAAAGCGUGGGGAGCAAACAGG